Molecule: ribosomal RNA, 264 nt
Filed under: uncultured bacterium
Lineage: Bacteria
Description: partial 16S ribosomal RNA
Rfam family: Bacterial small subunit ribosomal RNA
Source: RNAcentral
GUCCACGCCGUAAACGAUGUCAACUAGCCGUUGGGCACCUUAGUGUGCUUGGUGGCGCAGCUAACGCGAUAAGUUGACCGCCUGGGGAGUACGGUCGCAAGAUUAAAACUCAAAUGAAUUGACGGGGGCCCGCACAAGCGGUGGAGCAUGUGGUUUAAUUCGACGCAACGCGAAGAACCUUACCAGGUCUUGACAUCCAGAGAAGUCGCUAGAGAUAGCUUCGUGCCUUCGGGAACUCUGAGACAGGUGCUGCAUGGCUGUCGU